AACGAACGCUGGCGGCAGGCUUAACACAUGCAAGUCGAACGGUUGUAGCAAUACAGCAGUGGCAGACGGGUGAAUAACACGUGGGAACCUUCCUCGUAGUACGGAACAACUCAGGGAAACUUGAGCUAAUACCGUAUACGUCCGAGAGGAGAAAGAUUUAUCGCUAUGAGACGGGCCCGCGUCCGAUUAGCUAGUUGGUGGGGUAACGGCCUACCAAGGCAACGAUCGGUAGCUGAUCUGAGAGGAUGAUCAGCCACACUGGGACUGAGACACGGCCCAGACUCCUACGGGAGGCAGCAGUGGGGAAUCUUGGACAAUGGGCGCAAGCCUGAUCCAGCCAUGCCGCGUGAGUGAAGAAGGCCUUAGGGUUGUAAAGCUCUUUUGGCAGGGACGAUAAUGACGGUACCUGCAGAAUAAGCCCCGGCAAACUUCGUGCCAGCCGCCGCCGUAAU
Molecule: ribosomal RNA, 452 nt
Filed under: uncultured bacterium
Lineage: Bacteria
Description: bacterial SSU rRNA
Rfam family: Bacterial small subunit ribosomal RNA
Source: RNAcentral